CCCCCCCGGUUGUUAUAGCCGGCCGUUCCGUGGCGCGACACCCGACCGAGGUCGACGCUCCCGGUUUCGGGAGCGCUCAGCCGUCCCCUCUUUCCGAGCGGGUGGGCCGGCAAGCCGGCUCCUCGGCGGCGAGUCACCCUCCGCGGUGGCCGCCCCGUGGGGUCCGGCCGCUGGCCGUCCACUUUCCCGCGGGGGCGCUGUUCCUCCUCCGGAGGUUUGCGGCGAGUAGGUCGGUCACCCACCCGACCCGUCUUGAAACACGGACCAAGGAGUCUAACAUGUGCGCGAGUCAUUGGGUCUUGUUCAGGCCCAGAGGCGCAAUGAAAGUGAAGGCGCCGUCUCGCGACGGCCGCCGUGUUGGGACCCUCCGGCCUGCGCGCCGGGGGAGCACCAACGACCCGUCCCGUCCGGCUCGCCGGUGGAGCGGAGUCUGAGCGUACACGUUGGGACCCGAAAGAUGGUGAACUAUGCCUGGGCAGGACGAAGCCAGAGGAAACUCUGGUGGAGGUCCGCAGCGGU
This 519-nucleotide ribosomal RNA is filed under the name Scytodes sp. 10 YFL-2022a. Its description in RNAcentral is "partial large subunit ribosomal RNA". The stretch from base 264 to 519 matches the Rfam family "Eukaryotic large subunit ribosomal RNA", at positions 665 to 884 of the family's 3401-position model. The record is from RNAcentral. Lineage: Eukaryota; Metazoa; Arthropoda; Arachnida; Araneae; Scytodidae.